This 2930-nucleotide ribosomal RNA is filed under the name Escherichia coli. RNAcentral's name for it is "bacterial LSU rRNA". It matches the Rfam family "Bacterial large subunit ribosomal RNA". The record is from RNAcentral. Lineage: Bacteria; Pseudomonadati; Pseudomonadota; Gammaproteobacteria; Enterobacterales; Enterobacteriaceae.
GGGUUGUGAGGUUAAGCGACUAAGCGUACACGGUGGAUGCCCUGGCAGUCAGAGGCGAUGAAGGACGUGCUAAUCUGCGAUAAGCGUCGGUAAGGUGAUAUGAACCGUUAUAACCGGCGAUUUCCGAAUGGGGAAACCCAGUGUGUUUCGACACACUAUCAUUAACUGAAUCCAUAGGUUAAUGAGGCGAACCGGGGGAACUGAAACAUCUAAGUACCCCGAGGAAAAGAAAUCAACCGAGAUUCCCCCAGUAGCGGCGAGCGAACGGGGAGCAGCCCAGAGCCUGAAUCAGUGUGUGUGUUAGUGGAAGCGUCUGGAAAGGCGCGCGAUACAGGGUGACAGCCCCGUACACAAAAAUGCACAUAUUGUGAGCUCGAUGAGUAGGGCGGGACACGUGGUAUCCUGUCUGAAUAUGGGGGGACCAUCCUCCAAGGCUAAAUACUCCUGACUGACCGAUAGUGAACCAGUACCGUGAGGGAAAGGCGAAAAGAACCCCGGCGAGGGGAGUGAAAAAGAACCUGAAACCGUGUACGUACAAGCAGUGGGAGCACGCUUAGGCGUGUGACUGCGUACCUUUUGUAUAAUGGGUCAGCGACUUAUAUUCUGUAGCAAGGUUAACCGAAUAGGGGAGCCGAAGGGAAACCGAGUCUUAACUGGGCGUUAAGUUGCAGGGUAUAGACCCGAAACCCGGUGAUCUAGCCAUGGGCAGGUUGAAGGUUGGGUAACACUAACUGGAGGACCGAACCGACUAAUGUUGAAAAAUUAGCGGAUGACUUGUGGCUGGGGGUGAAAGGCCAAUCAAACCGGGAGAUAGCUGGUUCUCCCCGAAAGCUAUUUAGGUAGCGCCUCGUGAAUUCAUCUCCGGGGGUAGAGCACUGUUUCGGCAAGGGGGUCAUCCCGACUUACCAACCCGAUGCAAACUGCGAAUACCGGAGAAUGUUAUCACGGGAGACACACGGCGGGUGCUAACGUCCGUCGUGAAGAGGGAAACAACCCAGACCGCCAGCUAAGGUCCCAAAGUCAUGGUUAAGUGGGAAACGAUGUGGGAAGGCCCAGACAGCCAGGAUGUUGGCUUAGAAGCAGCCAUCAUUUAAAGAAAGCGUAAUAGCUCACUGGUCGAGUCGGCCUGCGCGGAAGAUGUAACGGGGCUAAACCAUGCACCGAAGCUGCGGCAGCGACACUGUGUGUUGUUGGGUAGGGGAGCGUUCUGUAAGCCUGUGAAGGUGUGCUGUGAGGCAUGCUGGAGGUAUCAGAAGUGCGAAUGCUGACAUAAGUAACGAUAAAGCGGGUGAAAAGCCCGCUCGCCGGAAGACCAAGGGUUCCUGUCCAACGUUAAUCGGGGCAGGGUGAGUCGACCCCUAAGGCGAGGCCGAAAGGCGUAGUCGAUGGGAAACAGGUUAAUAUUCCUGUACUUGGUGUUACUGCGAAGGGGGGACGGAGAAGGCUAUGUUGGCCGGGCGACGGUUGUCCCGGUUUAAGCGUGUAGGCUGGUUUUCCAGGCAAAUCCGGAAAAUCAAGGCUGAGGCGUGAUGACGAGGCACUACGGUGCUGAAGCAACAAAUGCCCUGCUUCCAGGAAAAGCCUCUAAGCAUCAGGUAACAUCAAAUCGUACCCCAAACCGACACAGGUGGUCAGGUAGAGAAUACCAAGGCGCUUGAGAGAACUCGGGUGAAGGAACUAGGCAAAAUGGUGCCGUAACUUCGGGAGAAGGCACGCUGAUAUGUAGGUGAAGCGACUUGCUCGUGGAGCUGAAAUCAGUCGAAGAUACCAGCUGGCUGCAACUGUUUAUUAAAAACACAGCACUGUGCAAACACGAAAGUGGACGUAUACGGUGUGACGCCUGCCCGGUGCCGGAAGGUUAAUUGAUGGGGUCAGCGCAAGCGAAGCUCUUGAUCGAAGCCCCGGUAAACGGCGGCCGUAACUAUAACGGUCCUAAGGUAGCGAAAUUCCUUGUCGGGUAAGUUCCGACCUGCACGAAUGGCGUAAUGAUGGCCAGGCUGUCUCCACCCGAGACUCAGUGAAAUUGAACUCGCUGUGAAGAUGCAGUGUACCCGCGGCAAGACGGAAAGACCCCGUGAACCUUUACUAUAGCUUGACACUGAACAUUGAGCCUUGAUGUGUAGGAUAGGUGGGAGGCUUAGAAGUGUGGACGCCAGUCUGCAUGGAGCCGACCUUGAAAUACCACCCUUUAAUGUUUGAUGUUCUAACGUUGACCCGUAAUCCGGGUUGCGGACAGUGUCUGGUGGGUAGUUUGACUGGGGCGGUCUCCUCCUAAAGAGUAACGGAGGAGCACGAAGGUUGGCUAAUCCUGGUCGGACAUCAGGAGGUUAGUGCAAUGGCAUAAGCCAGCUUGACUGCGAGCGUGACGGCGCGAGCAGGUGCGAAAGCAGGUCAUAGUGAUCCGGUGGUUCUGAAUGGAAGGGCCAUCGCUCAACGGAUAAAAGGUACUCCGGGGAUAACAGGCUGAUACCGCCCAAGAGUUCAUAUCGACGGCGGUGUUUGGCACCUCGAUGUCGGCUCAUCACAUCCUGGGGCUGAAGUAGGUCCCAAGGGUAUGGCUGUUCGCCAUUUAAAGUGGUACGCGAGCUGGGUUUAGAACGUCGUGAGACAGUUCGGUCCCUAUCUGCCGUGGGCGCUGGAGAACUGAGGGGGGCUGCUCCUAGUACGAGAGGACCGGAGUGGACGCAUCACUGGUGUUCGGGUUGUCAUGCCAAUGGCACUGCCCGGUAGCUAAAUGCGGAAGAGAUAAGUGCUGAAAGCAUCUAAGCACGAAACUUGCCCCGAGAUGAGUUCUCCCUGACCCUUUAAGGGUCCUGAAGGAACGUUGAAGACGACGACGUUGAUAGGCCGGGUGUGUAAGCGCAGCGAUGCGUUGAGCUAACCGGUACUAAUGAACCGUGAGGCUUAACCUUACAACGCCGAAGGUGUUU